Non-coding RNA from Punica granatum (pomegranate), 4943 nucleotides. The record is from RefSeq and is a predicted model, not a curated record. NCBI's taxonomy places the organism in Eukaryota, Viridiplantae, Streptophyta, Magnoliopsida, Myrtales, Lythraceae.
CCCCCCCCCCCCCCCCCCUCUCUCUCUGCCUGCAAAUCAUAGACAGCACCAAACUCCAAGGCCUUUCAUCAAUUCAAUCCCUCUCUCUCCAAGCUCCGUACUUCCUUCUCUCUCUCUCUUCUCGAACCUCCCAUUUGCCUUCUCGAAAUUCCUCCCCUUUCUGUUGCUCCGAGCUCCGAUCUGCAGCCUGCGAUCCCAAUCUCCUUGAAGCUCGAAUCCCUCCCCCUCCGCUCCACUGAAGGGGAGAGUUCGCAGAAAUCUGUAGCUCCGAGCUGAGCUAGUGCAAUAAUAGCAAUUCUAAGCUCGAAGUCAAAAGCUCGUGGAUUUGGGGGGCUGAUUGAUUGGUUUGGUAAUUGAUUGGUCGAUCAAUCAGCUCUGGUUUUGAUUGCGGGAGAUGCUCUACCUGAAGCAGCCUAGCUCCGUCCUGUGUCUUGGGAGUUCUUGUUCGUUGUGCAGCGGAAGGCGCUUGCUGUUAGCGUGAAUUGCGCAAUUCAUAUGUUCAUAUCACUCGCUAGCUUGAAAGCACGGGGCUUUGCGGGAGGAGAUUUUGUCGGAGGCAUACAAGGCUCGGGUUUCCGGUGAAUGCCCUUGUGAUAAGUCCCCUGAGCCUGGGGCUCGGGGAGAGCUGUGUGUAGCUCUUGAGAGUGCGUAGAAAUGGCGGAGAGCUCGGACCGUGAGAGCUCGUUUCACUCGAGAGACGGUAUGGACUGUCCUGCAGCCGAAUCCUGUAUGCAGAAGUUCAGGCUUUACGAGACACGAUCGAUGUUUUACAUGAUUGGGAGGGACAAGAGCAGAACAUAUUGGAGGGUGCUCAAAAUUGAUAGGCUAGAUCCUUCUGAGCUAAAUGUUCGUGAAGAUUCUACCACAUAUACAGAACGUGAAUGCUCUGAUCUCUUGAGGCGGAUACAUGAGGGUAACAAAUCAACUGGUGGACUGAAAUUUGUCACUACAUGUUACGGAAUAGUGGGGUUCAUCAAGUUUUUAGGACCUUAUUACAUGCUGCUGAUCACAAAGAGGAGGGAGAUUGGUGCUAUCUGUGGCCAUACUGUCUAUGCUAUCUCUAAGAGUGAGAUGAUUCCGCUCCCAAAUUCUACUGUUCGAUCAGCUAUCGCUAAUUCAAGGGAUGAAAACAGAUACAAAAAGCUGCUGUGCACAGUGGAUCUCACAAAGGACUUCUUUUUUAGCUACUCAUACCAUGUCAUGCGCAGCCUUCAGAAGAAUUUGUGUGAUAAUGAGACAGGACAGGUUCUCUACGAGACCAUGUUCGUAUGGAAUGAGUUCUUGACUCGGGGAAUAAGGAAUCACCUCCAGAAUACUCUGUGGACAGUUGCUUUGGUUUAUGGCUUUUUUAAACAGGCUACGCUUUCUGUUGCUGGACGAGACUUGACAUUGACUCUGAUUGCUAGACGGUCGCGGCAUUAUGCUGGUACAAGGUAUCUGAAAAGGGGAGUAAAUGACGAGGGCAGAGUGGCUAAUGAUGUUGAGACAGAGCAGAUUGUGUUUGAGGAUGCCUCUGAAGGAUUUCCCACAAAAAUAAGUUCUGUCGUCCAGAACCGUGGAUCUAUUCCACUUUUCUGGUCACAGGAAACUUCACGUUUGAAUCUUAAACCAGAUAUAAUAUGUAUGUCUCUGCACUCAGUUUUUUUUCGGGACAAUGUUGUAUGUGCUGUAAACUCACUUUUGGCCCUUGCAGUGUCAAAGAAGGACCAAAACUAUGAAGCUACGAGACUUCAUUUUGAAAAUCUUGUUAAGAGAUAUGGAAACCCUAUAAUCAUAUUAAAUCUAAUAAAGACGGAAGAGAAAAAGCCUCGAGAGUCUAUUCUUCGUGCCGAGUUUGCUAAUGCUAUUGACUAUAUUAAUAAAGAUUUGCCGGAAGAAAACCGUUUGAAGUUCCUUCACUGGGAUCUACACAAACAUUCGCGGAGCAAAGCUACAAGUGCUCUGUCAUUUCUUGGUAAAGUCGCUGCGUAUGCGUUAACACUGACAGGGUUCUUUUAUUGUCAAAUAUCACCUGCCGUAACACAAGAGCUUUGUAUUGAAUGGCCUUCAGCAGAGGAUGUAGGAAGUAACUGCUUGGGAUCAGCAGAUGAUGGGGAAAAAGAGAGUGAUGAUAUUUAUUUAGAGAGAAGAUACAGUGAAGGUAACAACCUUGUGAAUGGGAAUCACUUGACAAAGCCUCCUAAGUUUCAAAGAGGUGUGCUCCGGACCAAUUGCAUAGACUGCCUUGAUCGAACAAAUGCUGCCCAGUUUGCCUAUGGGUUGGCUGCUCUAGGACGCCAACUCCAUGCACUUGGGGUCAUAGAGGAUCCUAAGGUGGACCUUGAUUCUCCUAUGGCUGAUCAGCUAAUGGGAUGCUAUGAGAGAAUGGGUGACACACUUGCACACCAGUAUGGUGGCUCUGCUGCUCAUAAUAAGAUAUUUUCUGCUAUACGUGGUCAGUGGAAGGCAGCCACUCAGUCACAAGAGUUCUUUAGGACGCUACAACGAUAUUACAACAAUGCAUAUAUGGAUGCUAUGAAGCAAGAUGCCAUUGACGUAUUCUUGGGUAAUUUUGAGCCAGAACCAGGCAAACCUGCAUUGUGGGAGCUUGACUCAGAACAGAAUUCAAUGAGAAAUGGAGAGAGGAAUGAUGAAGAUGAUGAUGGAAGGUCCCUUUUCAAGAGAUGCUUAUCGGAUGGAAAUAUCCUUCGGGACACCUGCUCACCAAUGUCAGCUACAGAGAAGCAGGAUCAGUUGUCUCGGUUGGAUCCACAGGAUCAGUCUCAAGAUGCCAAAGUUCUCUCUGAUUCAUCACCUGAUAUUUCAACUUCUGAAAGUGAAAUAGCAUUUUCGAGGUAUACUCCCACUAUGCCAAAAAGACAGCUAUUCGGUGAUGUUCAAAGGGAAAGCAAUCAUAUUUACUAUUCCGAGUAUGGAGAUGCGUCUAAUUACUCAAACUUCGUGGAUCUGGACUGGCUUUCAUCCUCAGGGAAUUCAUGUGACGAAGAGGCAUAUGAUAGAUCUUCUGUGCUUACAAGCUCCUCAGUUGCGGGUCUAUCAAUGGAAAAUGUCAUGAACGGAAUAGGAGCAACCCCAUCAACAAGUGAAUAUGGACCCAGCAUGAAGGUCAGCCUCACUCGAGACUCUACUAACAAUUUGGUAGAAAUCAACUGUUGAUGUUCUUUUAGAGGCAUUGCCUCUGCGUAGUCAUGCUCUUAGGUUUUCUGUAAGUACGCAAUAAAAUGCUGGGAACUUUGUUCAAAUGCCAUAGCUGCUUUGUAUUAGAUUACUAUGCCAACGGUCAGUUGGGUUUAUUACGUUAGCGCGUUGCUAUAAUAAUUGACAGGGUGUUCCAUGCCUGCCGUGCGAAUUAAUAAUGAAGAUGUCCAUCUAGAAGGUACUUCAUCUUACCAGCGACAGAUAAUUUAUCCCUUGGGAUUAUUAAACGCUCUAGAUUGAGUUGAUACUGAUUAUACUCCUAGAAUUUAUCCUCUUAUCUCAGUCUGGCCCCUGAAAAGAUUUGUCUUGAUUAGCCUCACUUAGUUUCAAUUAUUUCAACGAUCCCCCCUUACUAGUGAGGGUAUCUGUGGAAGGAAUCUGGUCAAAUGCAUGUACUUUUGAUGCGAGAUCUCUUAUCCAAUUUUUGGGCUGGAUUAGUUGUCAGAUAUAUCUUCUUCUAUUUCCCUAGAAGAACGCAAUUUUCAUCGGCGUACUGGCGAUUCUACUGUGAAUGGAGGUUAGAGGUUUGGCAAUCUUGAGUUGGAGGUGGAAUGGGAAAUUUACUGCAAAGUGUAAUUGUUGGGUUGCGGAACUCGUUACAAUUGUAGGCUCCAAGGAAGAAGUUGACUCGUUGAAUCCACACAUUACAUUUAGAAGCUUUGAAUAAGCACUUGGUUUCAAGAAAUGUAAGUCGGUUGCGUGCUCAGUUUCAUCUUGGAGUUUUUAAGGAGAAAAUAUGAACUCAGUUUAAAGAGUGGAUGACAUUGGGUGAGCAUUACGGACAAAGAAGUUAUCUUAGGACAUGCCCAGACAAUCUUUUCAGGGGGCCAACUGAAAGGAAGCCAUUUUUGUAGAGGGAGGGGAGAAUUCAUCGGCGGAGCUAUCAUAUCACAGCAUGCACCAUGCUGAUGUUCUGGAGGAUUAUUCUGAUAGCUUUGUCAAGUGGGUGACCUCUGGGGAGACGCUUUGCCACUAAAGUUUGUCUCUUCCCCCUACUUGAUUCGUGGGUUACUAUAUAUUCUCGACGACGUUAAAAAAAGCUUAUACAUCAUGAUCAACAAAGAAGCAAAGCAAAUUGCUUUGGCUGGACAAGCAAAAAGAUGAGGGUUUACGAUCCGUGAGAUUUAAGAUAUUGCGGAGGCAAUCUUUCCGUCAAACUCUGAGUGUGCAGCUCUCAUUCCAUCGUAAAAGUUUGAUGGGGAGUCGAUGCCAUAGCACCAGAAAAAGUAAAAGAAAGAAGUAAAUAGCAAGAGUUGAAAUUCUUUUUGGGGCACGGCGUACCCAUAGGCUUCCAUAGGUCAAGCGUGUAUAUAAUGUUCGAGCUCCACUUGUAGAGCUGUAGAUCUGCUGAUUCUUUAUCUGUUAUUGGUUUCUAGUUGUCAGGCAUGUUACUAACAUCGAGGAUCACGCAUUUGGAGUUAUGAGCAACUACCGGCAUCUGUAGUCGUUAUUAACCCGUCAAGGUACUAAAGCAUUCUAAGGCGUUUUGGUUUGGUUUCUGUUUCUGUUUUAUUCCAUAUAGGAAGCAUUUAUUACUUCAAACGUUAGGUAUCCUUGCAUUGACAUUUUGGAGGCUCUUCUGAUUGGCUGAGAGAUUAAAUUGUCGAUUGUUGGAAAGGUAUGAAUCGACGAGGCCACUUAUGAUUUCUUAUCUAGGCAUUCUUGUCAGUAGGGUUGUGUUUGGUGGUACGAACAAUGUGUUGGUGACAUUCUUUAACACGAGCUAGAACAAUGUGUUGGUGACA